AGUGAGUAUGAGAAGGGCAUUCGGUGGAUGCCUUGGCACUAGGAGGCGACGAAGGACGUAGCACGCUGCGAUAAGCUGUGGGGAGCCGCGAGCAGGCAUUGAUCCGCAGAUUUCCGAAUGGGGCAACCCACCCAGCGAUGGGUAUCGUGAUCUGAAUACAUAGGGUUACGAGGCGAACCCGGGGAACUGAAACAUCUCAGUACCUGGAGGAAAAGACAUCAAUUGAGAUUCUGCUAGUAGUGGCGAGCGAACGCGGAACAGGCCAGUCAUUUUUGAAGAAGAAGCAGAACAGUCUGGAAAGGCUGACCAUAGUGGGUGACAGUCCCGUAUGUGUAGUGUCUUUAAGAAUGCUUGAGUAGGGCGGGGCACGUGAAACCCUGUCUGAACAUGGGGGGACCACCCUCCAAGCCUAAAUACUCCCUAGUGACCGAUAGCGAACAAGUACCGUGAGGGAAAGGUGAAAAGCACCCCGACGAGGGGAGUGAAAGAGACCUGAAACCGGAUGCCUACAAGCAGUCGGAGCCUCUUAUGGGGUGACGGCGUACCUUUUGUAUAAUGGGUCAGCGAGUUUCUGUUUGCAGCGAGCUUAAGCCGAUAGGUGUAGGCGUAGCGAAAGCGAGUCUGAAUAGGGCGCAUAGUUGCUGGCAGAAGACCCGAAACCGAGUGAUCUAGCCAUGGCCAGGCUGAAGGUGCGGUAACACGCACUGGAGGGCCGAACCCACGCCUGUUGAAAAAGUCGGGGAUGAGCUGUGGCUAGGGGUGAAAGGCCAAUCAAACUCGGAGAUAGCUGGUUCUCCGCGAAAUCUAUUGAGGUAGACCGUCAGGUGGUUACCCCGGGGGGUAGAGCACUGGAUGGGCUAGGGGGGCCCAAAGCCUUACCAAACCCAACCAAACUCCGAAUACCCGGAAGUAUAGCCUGGCAGACAGACAGUGGGUGCUAAGGUCCAUUGUCGAGAGGGAAACAGCCCAGACCACCAGCUAAGGCCCCCAAAUCGUGGCUAAGUGGGAAAGGAUGUGGGGAUUCCAUAACAACCAGGAGGUUGGCUUAGAAGCAGCCAUCCUUUAAAGAAAGCGUAAUAGCUCACUGGUCUAAUAGAAACCCUGCGCCGAAAAUGUAACGGGGCUCAAGCCACGUGCCGAAGCUGUGGGUGCAUAUCUAUGAUAUGCGCGGUAGCGGAGCGUUCCGUAAGUCAGUGAAGGAGACGGGGUGACCCUCUCUGGAGAUAUCGGAAGUGCGAAUGCUGACAUGAGUAGCGACAAACAGUGCGAGAAACACUGUCGCCGAAAGUCCAAGGGUUCCUGCGCAAGGUUAAUCCACGCAGGGUUAGUCGGCCCCUAAGGCGAGGGCGAGAGCCGUAGUCGAUGGGAAACAGGUGAAUAUUCCUGUACCUGCCAGAAGUGACGAAUGCGAUAUGUUGUCAGGUCUUAACGGAUUGACCUGGCUUUUGGAGCAUUCCAGGAAAUAGCUCUGGCGUAUAGACCGUACCCGAAACCGACACAGGUGGACUGGUAGAGAAUACCAAGGCGCUUGAGAGAACGAUGCUGAAGGAACUAGGCAAAUUGCUCGUGUAACUUCGGGAUAAGCGAGACCCGUUGGUGGGCAACCAUUGGCGGGUGGCACAGACCAGGGGGUAGCGACUGUUUAUUAAAAACACAGGACUCUGCGAAGUCGAAAGACGACGUAUAGGGUCUGACGCCUGCCCGGUGCCGGAAGGUUAAGAGGAGGUGUGAGAGCGCUGAAUUGAAGCCCCGGUAAACGGCGGCCGUAACUAUAACGGUCCUAAGGUAGCGAAAUUCCUUGUCGGGUAAGUUCCGACCUGCACGAAUGGCGUAACGACUUCCCCGCUGUCUCCAGCAUCGGCUCAGCGAAAUUGAAUUCCCCGUGAAGAUGCGGGGUAUCCGCGGUCAGACGGAAAGACCCUAUGAACCUUUACUGCAGCUUU
Molecule: ribosomal RNA, 1943 nt
Filed under: Wolbachia endosymbiont of Scaptomyza pallida
Lineage: Bacteria; Pseudomonadati; Pseudomonadota; Alphaproteobacteria; Rickettsiales; Anaplasmataceae
Description: partial 23S ribosomal RNA
Rfam family: Bacterial large subunit ribosomal RNA
Source: RNAcentral